UAGGGAAUCUUCCGCAAUGGGCGAAAGCCUGACGGAGCAACGCCGCGUGAGUGAUGAAGGUCUUCGGAUCGUAAAACUCUGUUAUUAGGGAAGAACAAAUGUGUAAGUAACUAUGCACGUCUUGACGGUACCUAAUCAGAAAGCCACGGCUAACUACGUGCCAGCAGCCGCGGUAAUACGUAGGUGGCAAGCGUUAUCCGGAAUUAUUGGGCGUAAAGCGCGCGUAGGCGGUUUUUUAAGUCUGAUGUGAAAGUCCACGGCUCAACCGUGGAGGGUCAUUGGAAACUGGAAAACUUGAGUGCAGAAGAGGAAAGUGGAAUUCAAUGUGUAGCGGUGAAAUGCGCAGAGAUAUGGAGGAACACCAGUGGCGAAGGCGACUUUCUGGUCUGUAACUGACGCUGAUGUGCGAAAGCGUGGGGAUCAAACAGG
This 429-nucleotide ribosomal RNA is filed under the name Acidobacteriota bacterium. RNAcentral describes it as "Acidobacteria bacterium partial 16S ribosomal RNA". It matches the Rfam family "Bacterial small subunit ribosomal RNA", at positions 355 to 776 of the family's 1533-position model. Lineage: Bacteria; Pseudomonadati; Acidobacteriota. The record is from RNAcentral.